UACGGGAGGUGCGAGCGUUGUUCGGAAUGACUGGGCGUAAAGCGCACGUAGGCGGGUCUUUAAGUCGCAUGUGAAAGCCCUAGGCUUAACCUGGGAAUUGCAUACGAAACCGUAGAUCUUGAAUGCUUGAGAGGUUCAUGGAAUUCUUGGUGUAGGAGUGAAAUCCGUAGAUAUCAAGAGGAACACCAGAGGCGAAGGCGGUGAACUGGCGAUGCAUUGACGCUGAGGUGCGAAAGCGUGGGUAGCAAACAGG
This 253-nucleotide ribosomal RNA is filed under the name uncultured bacterium. RNAcentral describes it as "partial 16S ribosomal RNA". It matches the Rfam family "Bacterial small subunit ribosomal RNA", at positions 524 to 776 of the family's 1533-position model. The record is from RNAcentral.